Molecule: ribosomal RNA, 565 nt
Filed under: Aliciidae environmental sample
Lineage: Eukaryota; Metazoa; Cnidaria; Anthozoa; Actiniaria; Aliciidae
Description: SSU rRNA
Rfam family: Eukaryotic small subunit ribosomal RNA
Source: RNAcentral
UCCAAUAGCGUAUAUUAAAGUUGUUGCAGUUAAAAAGCUCGUAGUUGGAUUUCGGGACGGGCCGGCCGGUCCGCCGCAAGGCGUGUUACUGACCGGGCUGUUCUUCUUCGCAAAGACUGCAUGUGCUCUUAACUGAGUGUGUGUAGGACUUGUGACGUUUACUUUGAAAAAAUUAGAGUGUUCAAAGCAGGCCAGCGCUUGAAUACAUAAGCAUGGAAUAAUGGAAUAGGACUUUGGUUCUAUUUUGUUGGUUUCUGGAACCGAAGUAAUGAUUAAAAGGGACAGUUGGGGGCAUUCGUAUUUCGUUGUCAGAGGUGAAAUUCUUGGAUUUACGAAAGACGAACUACUGCGAAAGCAUUUGCCAAGAAUGUUUUCAUUAAUCAAGAACGAAAGUUAGAGGAUCGAAGACGAUCAGAUACCGUCCUAGUUCUAACCAUAAACGAUGCCGACUAGGGAUCAGAGAGUGUUAUUGGAUGACCUCUUUGGCACCUUAUGGGAAACCAAAGUUUUUGGGUUCCGGGGGAAGUAUGGUUGCAAAGCUGAAACUUAAAGGAAUUGACGGAAG